GCCAUGCAUGUCUAAGAACAUAUGUGUAAACAUGAAUCUGCGAACGGCUCAUUAUGAACACCCGUAAUCUACCCAGUUUUCGUAUCCAAAAUGGAUAUCUGCGUUAAUUUUGGAGCUAAUACGUGCACCAGAGCACCGCCAGCAAUGGUAGUGCGCACUUAUUAGAACAAGGCCAACUGGGGCAACCCUUUUGGUGACUCUGAAUAAUUUAGCGGAUCGUAUGGUCUUGUACCGACGACGUACUGGUCGAGCGGGUGCCCUAUCAACUAUUGAUGGAAGUGUAUUGUACUUUCAUGGUUGUAACGGGUAACGGAGAAUCAGGGUUCGACUCCGGAGAGCUAGCCUUAGAAACGGCUAUCACAUCCAAGGAAGGCAGCAGGCGCGUAAAUUACCCACUCUCAAUACGAGGAGGUAGUGACUAUCAAUAACGAGACAGAUCUCUUCGAGGUCUGUCAUUGAAAUGAGCAAAAUUUAAAGACUUUAACGAAGUCUAUGGGAGGGCAAGUCUGGUGCCAGCAGCCGCGGUAAUUCCAGCUCCCAACGUGUAUAUCGUCAUUGCUGCGGUUAAAAAGCUCGUAGUUGGAUCUUAGCUUAUGGCGGCGGUUCUCCUCGUGAGAUACUGCUGGCCUGAGCUGUUUCGCUGGUUUUCCUUGGCUUCGGCCUUGGUGGCUGGUGUUGUAACUUUGAUUAAAUCAAUGUGAUUAAAACAGGCGUAUGCUUGUAUGCUUUAUCAUGGAAUAAUAGAAUAUGACUUCGGUCCAUUCUGUUGGUCUUCGGAUCGAAGUAAUGAUUAAGAGGAACAAAUCGGGGGCAUCAGUAUCGCUGCGUGAGAGGUGAAAUUCUUGGACCGCAGCGAGACUACC
RNAcentral lists this ribosomal RNA (863 nucleotides) under Pristionchus bucculentus. RNAcentral describes it as "SSU rRNA". It matches the Rfam family "Eukaryotic small subunit ribosomal RNA", at positions 48 to 940 of the family's 1831-position model. The record is from RNAcentral. Lineage: Eukaryota; Metazoa; Nematoda; Chromadorea; Rhabditida; Neodiplogasteridae.